GGAGAAAUGCUGGGACCAGCAGAUGUGCGCAGCUGGGAGGGAAGCCCCCUCCCUGACCACAGCCCCCAGCAGUGCCCGCCGGGAGCAGGGAGAGAGGGGCGCAGGGCUCCGGAGUGUGGCCUGAUGGCUGUGUGCAAAGACCUUCUCCAGGGCCUGCCAGGCCCCAGGACAGGCCCUGCCCUUGUGGACUCACAGCCUUCCUCCAAAGGGUGCAGUGUGAUUCGUAGCUCCUGCCCAGAGGUGCAGCACUCAUGUAGGAACUGCUCUGUCCAAC
Molecule: long non-coding RNA, 274 nt
Filed under: Equus caballus (horse)
Lineage: Eukaryota; Metazoa; Chordata; Mammalia; Perissodactyla; Equidae
Description: lncRNA (ENSECAG00000052216.1)
Source: RNAcentral